This 22-nucleotide non-coding RNA is filed under the name Arabidopsis thaliana (thale cress). The record is from RNAcentral. Lineage: Eukaryota; Viridiplantae; Streptophyta; Magnoliopsida; Brassicales; Brassicaceae.
UGCUUGAGGAUGAUUGCUAGGU